UACGGAGGAUCCGAGCGUUAUCCGGAUUUAUUGGGUUUAAAGGGUGCGCAGGCGGGAAAUUAAGUCGGCGGUGAAAUUUUGCGGCUCAACCGUAAAAGUGCCUUCGAAACUGGUUUCCUUGAGUGUAGAUGAAGUAGGCGGAAUUUGUGGUGUAGCGGUGAAAUGCAUAGAUAUCACGAGGAACUCCGAUUGCGCAGGCAGCUUACUAAACUACUACUGACGCUCAGGCACGAAGGCGUGGGGAUCAAACAGGAUUAGAUACCCUGGUAGUCCCUGA
RNAcentral lists this ribosomal RNA (277 nucleotides) under uncultured prokaryote. RNAcentral's name for it is "partial 16S ribosomal RNA". It matches the Rfam family "Bacterial small subunit ribosomal RNA", at positions 524 to 800 of the family's 1533-position model. The record is from RNAcentral.